Molecule: ribosomal RNA, 415 nt
Filed under: Escherichia coli
Lineage: Bacteria; Pseudomonadati; Pseudomonadota; Gammaproteobacteria; Enterobacterales; Enterobacteriaceae
Description: partial 23S ribosomal RNA
Rfam family: Bacterial large subunit ribosomal RNA
Source: RNAcentral
GUUUGGCACCUCGAUGUCGGCUCAUCACAUCCUGGGGCUGAAGUAGGUCCCAAGGGUAUGGCUGUUCGCCAUUUAAAGUGGUACGCGAGCUGGGUUUAGAACGUCGUGAGACAGUUCGGUCCCUAUCUGCCGUGGGCGCUGGAGAACUGAGGGGGGCUGCUCCUAGUACGAGAGGACCGGAGUGGACGCAUCACUGGUGUUCGGGUUGUCAUGCCAAUGGCACUGCCCGGUAGCUAAAUGCGGAAGAGAUAAGUGCUGAAAGCAUCUAAGCACGAAACUUGCCCCGAGAUGAGUUCUCCCUGACUCCUUGAGAGUCCUGAAGGAACGUUGAAGACGACGACGUUGAUAGGCCGGGUGUGUAAGCGCAGCGAUGCGUUGAGCUAACCGGUACUAAUGAACCGUGAGGCUUAACCUU